RNAcentral lists this non-coding RNA (22 nucleotides) under Rattus norvegicus (Norway rat). Lineage: Eukaryota; Metazoa; Chordata; Mammalia; Rodentia; Muridae. The record is from RNAcentral.
CUGUGAAUUUGCUGUCAAAAGC